This 605-nucleotide ribosomal RNA is filed under the name uncultured archaeon. RNAcentral's name for it is "bacterial SSU rRNA". It matches the Rfam family "Archaeal small subunit ribosomal RNA", at positions 316 to 921 of the family's 1478-position model. The record is from RNAcentral.
CCAGGCCCUACGGGGUGCAGCAGGCGCGAAACCUCCGCAAUGUGAGAAAUCGCGACGGGGGGAUCCCAAGUGCCAUUCUUAACGGGAUGGCUUUUCAUUAGUGUAAAGAGCUUUUGGAAUAAGAGCUGGGCAAGACCGGUGCCAGCCGCCGCGGUAACACCGGCAGCUCUAGUGGUAGCAGUUUUUAUUGGGCCUAAAGCGUCCGUAGCCGGUUUAAUAAGUCUCUGGUGAAAUCCUGCAGCUUAACUGUGGGAAUUGCUGGAGAUACUAUUAGACUUGAGACCGGGAGAGGUUAGAGGUACUCCCAGGGUAGAGGUGAAAUUCUGUAAUCCUGGGAGGACCGCCUGUUGCGAAGGCGUCUGACUGGAACGAUUCUGACGGUGAGGGAUGAAAGCUAGGGGCGCGAACCGGAUUAGAUACCCGGGUAGUCCUAGCUGUAAACGAUGCGGACUUGGUGUUGGGGUGGCUUUGAGCUGUCCCAGUGCCGAAGGGAAGCUGUUAAGUCCGCCGCCUGGGAAGUACGGUCGCAAGACUGAAACUUAAAGGAAUUGGCGGGGGAGUACCACAACGCGUGGAGCCUGCGGUUUAAUUGGAGUCAACGCCGG